Molecule: ribosomal RNA, 1715 nt
Filed under: Paenibacillus sp. OK076
Lineage: Bacteria; Bacillati; Bacillota; Bacilli; Caryophanales; Paenibacillaceae
Description: bacterial LSU rRNA
Rfam family: Bacterial large subunit ribosomal RNA
Source: RNAcentral
CAGGGGUAGGGGAGCGUUGUAUAAGGGUUGAAGGUGUACCGUAAGGAGCGCUGGACAUUAUACAAGUGAGAAUGCCGGUAUGAGUAACGAAAAGAUCAGUGAGAAUCUGAUCCGCCGAAAGCCUAAGGGUUCCUGAGGAAGGCUCGUCCGCUCAGGGUAAGUCGGGACCUAAGGCGAGGCCGAAAGGCGUAGUCGAAGGACAACAGGUCGAAAUUCCUGUACCACCGUAAGCCGUUAUGAGCAAUGGGGGGACGCAGCAGGGUAGUGACGCGGACUGAUGGAUGUCCGUCUAAGCAGUGAGGCUGAUGUGUAGGCAAAUCCGCACAUCGUAAGGCUGGGCUGUGAUGGGGAGCGAAAAUUAUAGUAGCGAAGGUCAUGAUCUCACACUGCCAAGAAAAGCCUCUAGCCAGGUGAUGGUGCCCGUACCGCAAACCGACACAGGUAGGCGAGAAGAGAAUUCUAAGGCGCGCGGAAGAACUCUCGUUAAGGAACUCGGCAAAAUGACCCCGUAACUUCGGGAGAAGGGGUGCCCCGGUAGUGUGAAUAGCACGAGGGGGCCGCAGUGAAAAGGCCCAAGCGACUGUUUAGCAAAAACACAGGUCUGUGCGAAGCCGUAAGGCGAAGUAUACGGGCUGACGCCUGCCCGGUGCUGGAAGGUUAAGGGGAGCGGUUAGGAGCAAUCCGAAGCUGUGAACCGAAGCCCCAGUAAACGGCGGCCGUAACUAUAACGGUCCUAAGGUAGCGAAAUUCCUUGUCAGGUAAAUUCUGACCCGCACGAAUGGCGUAACGACUUGGGCGCUGUCUCAACGAGAGAUCCGGUGAAAUUUUAAUACCUGUGAAGAUGCAGGUUACCCGCGACAAGACGGAAAGACCCCAUGGAGCUUUACUGCAGCUUGAUAUUGAAUUUGGGUACGAUCUGUACAGGAUAGGUGGGAGCCUUUGAAACAUGAGCGCCAGCUUGUGUGGAGGCACCGUUGGGAUACCACCCUGAUCGUAUCUAGGUUCUAACCUGGUACCGUAAUCCGGUGCGGGGACAGUGUCAGGUGGGCAGUUUGACUGGGGCGGUCGCCUCCUAAAGAGUAACGGAGGCGCCCAAAGGUUCCCUCAGAAUGGUUGGAAAUCAUUCGAAGAGUGCAAAGGCAUAAGGGAGCUUGACUGCGAGACCUACAAGUCGAGCAGGGACGAAAGUCGGGCUUAGUGAUCCGGUGGUACCGCAUGGAAGGGCCAUCGCUCAACGGAUAAAAGCUACCCUGGGGAUAACAGGCUUAUCUCCCCCAAGAGUCCACAUCGACGGGGAGGUUUGGCACCUCGAUGUCGGCUCAUCGCAUCCUGGGGCUGAAGUAGGUCCCAAGGGUUGGGCUGUUCGCCCAUUAAAGCGGUACGCGAGCUGGGUUCAGAACGUCGUGAGACAGUUCGGUCCCUAUCUGUCGUGGGCGUAGGAAAUUUGAGAGGAGCUGUCCUUAGUACGAGAGGACCGGGAUGGACGUACCGCUGGUGUACCAGUUGUUCCGCCAGGAGCACCGCUGGGUAGCUAUGUACGGAAGGGAUAAGCGCUGAAAGCAUCUAAGCGUGAAGCCCCCCUCAAGAUGAGAUUUCCCAGUAUGUAAGACCCCUUGAAGACGACGAGGUAGAUAGGCUGGGGGUGGAAGUGCAGCAAUGCAUGGAGCUGACCAGUACUAAUCGGUCGAGGGCUUAUCCAAGAUAUGCAGGUUAUA